GGAAGGGUCGCUCAGCGGUAGAGCACCGCGGCGCCGUCAGGCCCGCGGCGGCCAUCGUGCCUCGUGGCGUUCAAAUCCCACCCCUUCCG
RNAcentral lists this transfer RNA (89 nucleotides) under Natronococcus sp. RNAcentral describes it as "tRNA-OTHER". It matches the Rfam family "tRNA". From Rfam's summary of the family: Transfer RNA (tRNA) molecules are approximately 80 nucleotides in length. Their secondary structure includes four short double-helical elements and three loops (D, anti-codon, and T loops). Lineage: Archaea; Methanobacteriati; Methanobacteriota; Halobacteria; Halobacteriales; Natrialbaceae. RNAcentral also lists the same sequence under 1 other name. The record is from RNAcentral.